This 785-nucleotide ribosomal RNA is filed under the name uncultured Actinobacillus sp. Its description in RNAcentral is "bacterial SSU rRNA". It matches the Rfam family "Bacterial small subunit ribosomal RNA", at positions 99 to 882 of the family's 1533-position model. Lineage: Bacteria; Pseudomonadati; Pseudomonadota; Gammaproteobacteria; Pasteurellales; Pasteurellaceae. The record is from RNAcentral.
CGGACGGGUGAGUAAUGCUUGGGAAUCUGGCUUAUGGAGGGGGAUAACUACGGGAAACUGUAGCUAAUACCGCGUAAUAUCUUCGGAUUAAAGGGUGGGACUUUCGGGCCACCUGCCAUAAGAUGAGCCCAAGUGGGAUUAGGUAGUUGGUGGGGUAAAGGCCUACCAAGCCGACGAUCUCUAGCUGGUCUGAGAGGAUGACCAGCCACACUGGAACUGAGACACGGUCCAGACUCCUACGGGAGGCAGCAGUGGGGAAUAUUGCACAAUGGGGGGGACCCUGAUGCAGCCAUGCCGCGUGAAUGAAGAGGGCCUUCGGGUUGUAAAGUUCUUUCGGUGAUGAGGAAGGUGUUUGUUUUAAUAGAACAAGCAAUUGACGUUAGUCACAGAAGAAGCACCGGCUAACUCCGUGCCAGCAGCCGCGGUAAUACGGAGGGUGCGAGCGUUAAUCGGAAUGACUGGGCGUAAAGGGCACGCAGGCGGUGACUUAAGUGAGAUGUGAAAGCCCCGAGCUUAACUUGGGAAUUGCAUUUCAUACUGGGUCGCUAGAGUAUUUUAGGGAGGGGUAGAAUUCCACGUGUAGCGGUGAAAUGCGUAGAGAUGUGGAGGAAUACCGAAGGCGAAGGCAGCCCCUUGGGAAUAUACUGACGCUCAUGUGCGAAAGCGUGGGGAGCAAACAGGAUUAGAUACCCUGGUAGUCCACGCUGUAAACGCUGUCGAUUUGGGGAUUGGGCUUAGAGCUUGGUGCCCGUAGCUAACGUGAUAAAUCGACCGCCUGGGGAGUA